This is a long non-coding RNA of Daphnia magna, 3064 nucleotides long. RefSeq lists it as uncharacterized. Lineage: Eukaryota; Metazoa; Arthropoda; Branchiopoda; Diplostraca; Daphniidae. The record is from RefSeq and is a predicted model, not a curated record. The transcript is spliced from 11 exons.
GCAUAACUGGAAGGAUUUUCACUGUAUCAAGUCCUUGAAUCUGGUGAGGUUCAAGGGCAUAAGCGCAUUUGAUUGAUAACAAAACAUUGAUGAUUUUUUCAGUGAUUUCGCUGUUUAAAAAGAAGGAUUACAGCGCUGAAUGGAAGUUGACGUCAACACCAACUGCACAAAGUUCCAAGCACCACACCAUGCCUCCUACCACCUUGUAAAUGUAUAAUAGGGUAAAAACAACUCUGAGAAUGUUUUCCAAAUUUAUUUGUGUCAGUAUACUUUAUCAAAUGCAGACAAUCCUUUUAGCCUAACGCGGAAGUAACCCGCUGCCAAUAGCAAAUCGCAAAUGUCCUGCAAUUUUGCUCUUUGUUCUUCAUCGUCCUUUACUUCAAAAAGCUCCUGAAAAAAAUCAACUCGGCAAUUUUAAUAAAGAAUCUCAAUCCUUUUUUGAAAAUCGAAACGUUACCCGCUUGUCCAUUAUGCAAAGCAGAGAAAUGUGACAGGCUGACACUAUUGCAAACUAUACACAAGAUCGGUCGUGUAAUUUUCAUGACUUGUUUUUGUUUUUUCGGUUCAAAAUUGAAACUAUAGAUGGCCAAUUAUGCAAAUGUUGCCGCAAAGCGGCGCACAUAUAUAAUGUAUAUUGCAGACGAAAACUACAUACAAUUGUGUUGCGAUCGUUAGCAUUAAGCGCGGCAAAAAUGUUUUUCAUUUGUUGUGAAAAACAGCUAUUAGCCGUUUGUUUGAAAUAUUUCAGUUACCUGCUGUCUGAAGCUAGCAUGUUUGACAUUUUGUUACAUUUUAUUGAAGUUAAUUGUAAACUUGCAGAGUUGAAAACUUAUUUGGAAAGUUGGAAGAUCUUUGUUUAUAAUUACUAAUAAUGAUGGUGCAGAUGAUGAUUCUUGAACAAUGCUAAGUUAUCUUAUGAUUCUUUCAAAUACAGGGAUUAUAUUGAACAUUACAAUUUGCCUGCUGUGCUUGAGUUAACUUCAUCCCCAUGUCAUUGACCAGUGGCCCAGUCAUGUUAAGGGCAACUGUCGUGCAGCUUUGUCCUUUGCUGCUCUAUACUUUUCAAAGCUCUUCACUCUGUCUACUGACCAAGAUAUCAGAAGAAUUGAUCAACUCUGUAACUCCCUCACAGGUUAAUUAGGAGGGAAAACGUGGACAUAAUCAAAAAAUAUAUUUGGUUCAAUUCUGGCGUUAGAUGGCCAAGAAGGGAAAAGGCGGGAAAAAAAUUUGAUGUAAAACCGGUUGCCUUAACCGGUUGCCAACUUGCCAUAUUGCCAUAUCUUUCUUUUAAGAAGCAACGGAAAUGACGAAAAUGUACAUGCGACAAGUGUCACCGUGUGGUGGAAAAAUAAAGCUUGUACUUGAUGCCUUGUCGUGCAUUGAAGAGAACUUAUAUAAAGACCUGCACCAUAUGAAGAGGUUUUCUUUGGUGCUGACUGUCGUCGUUCGUGGACGUAGGAUGAGUUUAGAUAAUCCCCGUUUGCAGUUAGAAAGAGCAUGGUGGUGGCAGUGUUGGCUUAGGAGGUCAAAACUAACACAGCUGUUGGAAAGUAGGAUGAUGUAUUAAAUAAUGUUUCAACUGAGCGUUUGCUGCUUGUAUGUUUUUCUGACCAUGAGGCUGCAUUGUCUAAUGGAUGUUGUGGUGACAAGUUUACUCCCUAAUGCCAAAGCAGUAGUAUGUGCUUCCAUGUCUGUACUUCAUGGUUUAGGCAUGAUAAAAUUCAAAUAUGAAUAUGAGAACAUGUUGGACCACUAUUUGUUAAUGCAGCAGCUUUGAUGACAUGCUUCUAUAUAGUGGAAGUAUCAUUAAGCAUUUGUUAAUUUUUUUUGUGUUUGAUUACUCAAAACUACUUAAAGAAAGACUUUUCUUUGUUGCUCUCUUGUGAUCUGGUGAAGAGUUAGCUUCUUGUUACUUCAAUGACCAUUGUGCUUGAUUGCAUUAGUCUGCUACUGUUGGUUGACUCAUUGCAAGUAUAAUGUUGUAUUUGUUACUUUCACUUUUACAUGAUUGUGAUUUUUGUUUCUGAUAGGUUUGAAAACUAGAUCAAUUUUUUUAGGUUUAAGCAACAUUUACCUUUUUAUCACUUAAAUUAGGAAUUGAUUUUCUAUCUAUUUAGGUAAUUGCAUCAGCGAAGUGUUCAUUUUAGAGGGCACUUGCACGCUUAUUUUUGCAUGCAUUUGGACCUUAUUGUUACAUCCUCUGAUAUUUAUUGUUCCUACUUGUUGGUCUUCAGUUGGGAAUCGUUUGACAAUGAUUAGGUAUUACUUUGCAUCGUUUCCUCGUGCUGACAUGGUACAAAUGUGAGGCAGGAUGGUCACAGGAUUUGGCAUAUCCACAGAACAUGAAGUUGGAUUGCCCUCCUGACAGUGUUGUAUACAGUGGUGGUUGCUCUAUGGUGAGUUAGUUAAUAAAUACCUGAUAACGAUCAGUAUGACAAUAAGUUUCUGGUUAUUAAUUAUCACGUUUUUACUUUUUGAAUUUUGUACAUUAGUGGGAUUUUCUGUCCGCCGGUGGUGCUGUUUAGACGAUCGCAAGAUUCACGAAGUAACCGAUUAAUUUUACAUGUUUUUGUGGAAUUAGUUUUGUGUGUUGAAAUGUGUCGAGUUGUGGUUUAUCAGUGAUUUAUUUGUAUGCGUUUUUUUUUAUUCUGCGUACGCCGAAGCCGAAGUGGUCGAUAGACUGAAAGGGACGUGACAUAUGAAAAUUUAUGCCAGCUGAAGUUGAACUGCGCCUGAAAAUAACCUUGAUUUUCUUAGAGUAAAUUUAGCAGUGUAUGUUGCAUUUUCUGUACCCUGUUUUACUUGAUUUGUGAUAAUACCAUACUAUGGUAGAUUGUUCUGUGGUGAUUUACAUGGACAUGGAAUUUACUCCAUUUACAAUAUUAUCAGCGGGACAAAAGGUUUUCAUAUAUGCUAAUUUAUGUCAAUCUUUACCUGGAAUAUGUUCUCCAAAAUUGUCUUGUUACUCUUCCGCUUCUAUUUGCUAUAACGCUUUUUCUUGGUGAACUGUUAAUAACUUGUUGUAAAUGUAAAUAGUAUUGAUAAUAAACGAUACAAAAUAAAA